GUGGGUAUAGUUCAGUGGUAGAGCGCAAGAUUGUGGAUCUUGAUGUCGUGGGUUCGAGACCCACUAUCCACCCCA
Molecule: transfer RNA, 75 nt
Filed under: Clostridia bacterium
Lineage: Bacteria; Bacillati; Bacillota; Clostridia
Description: tRNA-His
Rfam family: tRNA
About the family: Transfer RNA (tRNA) molecules are approximately 80 nucleotides in length. Their secondary structure includes four short double-helical elements and three loops (D, anti-codon, and T loops).
Source: RNAcentral